UUUGAGCAGAGUUUUUGCUUGCAUUUGUUUGUUUGAUUAAGUGUCCUUAUUACUGGCUUCUCUUUCUCCUUUUAUAGACAACUCGGUUUGGCCUCUUGUAGCAGCAGCCUUGCCCGAAUGCGGUUUGAGGGUGAUGACUCAUCAGCUAUUUUACAUGUGAUGCCACCAUAAAGUACUUUAUGGGCUGUGUAGCUGGUCAGUCUAUACCACUUGGUCCUUGGGUAGGUAAGCAAGUGGCCUUCAUGAACUGUAUCAAGUCAAAAAAUGCCAUUUUUUGCUUUUCUAGGUUUCGGCCGGGCCCUGAUCAACUAUUCCUUCAGGCCUCCUUUUGGGCCAGCUCCUUUCUUGAGCCCAAAGUCAAGUUUUAAUCCAAACAGUGCCCCCUUCAAUUAAUGUUAAGGUUGGAAUCCCAGGCGCCAUCAUUGAUUGAAUAUCCGCAUGCAUGUAUCUCAACCUUUUGGAACUUGUGCUUUCUGUACGCCUUGCUCUUCUCACGACCUUUGAACUGUCCUCUGGGCCCUAUAAAUUCUAGCUCGGGACCUCUCCUGUCAAGCCAUCAAAUCCCCUUCGGCUUUCACUUCCCUCCUCUUUGAGCGUUCUUGUCUCCUUUUAGAAACUGAGAAAUGGGUUCCUCAGGAUUUGAAUGGAGUUUCCUAAAACUCCCUUUUCGUGAGAAAAAAAGGGUUCACCCAAUGACUGCUAUCUCCAACACCCUUGGUCAACCACCCCACUAUCUCCAACACCCCUGGUCAGGCGGUUUCCUCUCGACGGUUUGUUUUCCCGCAAGUUGCGGUGAUAAAUCAGGCUUCACCAUCACAUAUGGUGACAGUCCUGUCGGAGGGUCCUCUACCAGGCACAUGUUGGCCGCACAACCCGAUCACCCGAUUGGGUUCCAUUCAUGAAGACAUCGGGAAACCAGCUGAAGGCAUCACCAUAUUCAGAGAGAAUCAAAUGUAAUACGUAGGAAUUGAAUCCUUUGUUAAUUUCACCAAUUUGUCGACAUGAAAGAAAUAUUAUUUCAGCAAUUUCUGUCUUCUGUCUUCUUUGAAUGGUUGAUGAACAAAGCACUGCAUAUGAAACUCCCGAAACCCGCUUUACUUUGCCCCAUCUUCAAUGUAACAAUCCCUAACAUCCCAUAAUGUAGGACAAUAUUUUUUUAAGAAUUUAACAUUAAUGGGAUGUUUCUGCCCAUUUCCUUCGAGGUCCGCUAGGUAGUAUCCUCCUUUAUUCAAAACUUGACUAACAAUGAAAUGACCCUCCCAUGUCGGGCUCCACUUUCCAAAGCCCCGAAGCUGAGCUCCUAGCGGGAGGACUGUUUUCCAUACUAAAUCUCCCUCUUUGAAAGACUUUAUCUUCACCUUCUUGUUAUAAGUUCGGGCAACAGCUUUCUUUCCUUCUUGAAUCUGGUUCAAGGCUUCAAUUCGGACUACAUCCAGGUCUUCAAUUCCUUGACACAUGGCUUUGAUGUAUUCUUCACUAUGUAGCCCAAAUUGGUUUUGAAUUCUUACAGAACUAACGUUAAUCUCCAUGGGGAGCACUGCAUCUUGCCCGAACGUCAAAGCAUAAGGAGUUGUCCCCGUUUCUGCCUUCUUGGAAGUUAUGUAUGCCCAUAACGUAUUCCCCAGCCUCUCAUGCCAUUUUUCUGGACUAUCUAUCACCAUUCUUUUGAUAAUGUUGACCAGGAUCUUGUUGCUAGCCUCUGCCUGACCAUUUGAUUAAGGAUAGUACGGACUGGACUGGAUCAUUUUUAUUUUGUACUUGCUUGCAAACUCCUCAACUUCUUUUGAAAUAAAAGAUGACCCACGAUCCGUUACUAUAGUUUCAGGCACCCCAUAUCUAUGCAGAAUCUUGGACUCGAUAAAAUUCUUGACUACGGCUGAAGUUAUGGAUUUUACUGCCGAUGCUUCCACCCACUUGGUGAAGUAAUCCGUUGCUACAAUUAUAAAAGUAUGCCCUUUACUAGAAGCUGGAUAGAUUUGCCCGAUGAAGUCCAUCGCCCACCCUCUGAACGGCCAAGGCUUGACCACUGGAUUCAAAGGUACUGAAAGCACGUGUUGGAGAGGUCCGUGCCGCUGACAUUCUUCACAACCUCGGGCAUAAGACUUGCAAUCUUUUUCCAUAUCGGGCCAGAAAUAACCGUACCUUCUAAGCAACCAUCUUACUUUGUCCAUGCUUGAUGUGCUCCACAUAUUCCCUCAUGUACUUCGGCCAUCACUCUCAUGGAUUCCUCUUGGCCUAAGCAUUUUAAUAGUAAUCCAUCUGGGGUCUUCCUUAGCAGGUUCUUCGCCCAUAAAACAUAUUUGGUUGCUUGCUGUCUACUUUUCUUACUUGUAGGCGAAGAAGGAUCCUUCAAAUGAUGAAUGAUAGGUGACCUCCAAUCUUCCAUCUCGGUCUCUAGAACCAUCACGUCCAAACUGAAUCCCCUUUCUAAGAUAGAAGGAAGGUUUCUUCUUUGGAUCUCAACAUCUACCCCAUAUUUUCUCUCCUGUAUUGGCACUCCUGAGGCUAGUUGUGCCAUCUCGUUGGCCGCUAAGUUAGAUCCCCUGGGAAUAUGAUUGACUGAUAUCUCGGACUCCUAGAAACUCAAUAAUUGCGUUGCUGUCAUGUAAUACCCCGCCAUAGUGAUAUGUCUGCACUUGAACUCACCAUUCAGCUGGUUUAUUACUAACUCUGAAUCACCAAAGAUCUCUACUUCUGCUGCCCCCAAAUCCAUCAGGAUUUCCAGACCAAUAAUCAGGGCCUCAUAUUCUGCCCGAUUAUUAGUAUUUUCUUGGUAAUCUAGAAGAAAUGAGUAAUAAUGAUAAACCCCCUGAGGAUUUACAAUCACAAUCCCAGCCCCUGCAGCCCUCUGAGUGUGGAAUCCAUCGAAAUACAGCUUCCAAGGAGUGAUCCAGAGACCCGUUACUCUUCUUAUCUCUUGUUGGACCCAAUCUUCUUUGCCUGAAACAUCUUCUCUUGGUGGGAUCCAAACGCUAGUAACCUCCAAGCUCCCCGGGACAUUGAUUACCUCACUUUGAGAUUCUUGAUGCUCAGUCAGGAAGUCAGCAAUUGCCUGGCCUUUGACUGCCCUUUGGGGUACAUAUUGAAAACUGAAUUCUGAUAGUGCUAGAAUCCACUUCCCAAUUCUUCCUGUUAGCAUUGGCUUUGACAACAUGUACUUGAUCACAUUUGUUUUGGCGAUGAUGUGCACGUGACAGGGCAACAUAUAAUGCCUUAGCUUACUGGCAGUAAAAUAUAGAGCCAAACAUAAUCUCUCUACUGGAGAAUAUCUUGUCUCUACCUUGGUCAGAAUUCUGAUGAGGUAAUAUAUGGCCUGCUCUUUCCCGCCUUCAUUAUUUUGGGCUAACAAACUCCCGAUUGAUCUUUCCGAAGCAGAAAUAUAUAGCUUUAAAGGCUUUCCCCUUUGAGGUGGCACCAGCACUGGUGGCGAAGUUAAAUAGGCCUUGAUGCUGUCAAAGGCCUGUUGGUGGGGCGGCCCCCACUCGAAAUUCUCUUUAUCUUUCAAUCUUAGUAGAGGAGUCAGCGGCUGGAUCUUGCCCGUUAAAUUGGCAAUGAAUCUCCUCAAAAAGUUGAUUUUGCCUAGGAGCCUUUGGAGUUGUACUUUAUUAGUGGGUGAAGGUGACUCCAUUAUUGCCCGAGAUUUGUUCUUGUCCACUUCCACACCUCUCUGAUGCACCAGGAAUCCCAAGAAGUUGCCCGCUCUCACUCCAAAUGCGCACUUCUUUGGAUUCAUCUUCAAUUUGUGGACCCUCAUUCUUGUCAAUGUUUGCUUGAGGUCUACUAGAUGCUGCUAUUCUGUUUUAGAUUUUACCACGAUGUCAUCGAUAUAUACUUCCAUGCUCUAGCCAAUUAGAUCGUGAAAAAUGGCAUUCAUUGCCCUUUGAUAGGUUGCGUCAGCAUUCUUGAGCUCGAAUGGCAUGACCAGAUAUUCAUAUGCCCCCACGUGACCGGGACACCUAAAAGCUGUUUUAUGAAUAUCUUCUGGAGCCAUCUUUAUCUGAUUAUAUCCGGCAUUUCCAUCCAUAAAAGAUAAAACUUUAUGUUUUGCCACUGCAUCUAUGGAUAAAUCAGCCAUGGGCAUGGGAUACUCAUCUUUUGGCGUAUCACUAUUAAUAUUUCUGUAGUCAACACAACAUCGUACUGCUUUUGUUAUAGCUUUUAAAACGGGUACAAUGUUGGCCAGCCACUCCACAUAUUUGGCUGGUCUGAUAAAGCCAGCUUUUACCAGCCUUUCGAUCUCUUCUUUGACCUUUUCUUCUAUCUCCUUCGACAUCCUUCGUGGUGCUUGCUUAAUAGGUUUAUAUCCCUCCUUGAUGGGCAUUCUAUGUUCUACCAAGGUUGGAUCUAACCCUGGCAUCUCGGUAUAAUGCCAAGCAAAACAAUCUUUGAAUUCUUGCAAAAGACAAAUAAUCUUUGCCCGAUCAUCAACCCCUAAUAAACCACUGAUCUGUAUUGGUCUCGGAUCCUCCUCUGUGCCUAGAUCAAUAAAUUCCAGAGGAUCCUGGACUUUUGGUGGUGGCUUAUCCGGUUCUGCACACAAAAAUUCGACCAACUCCGGGCUCUCGGGCAGGUCGUCUGGCUCGUCUAGAUCAUAUAUGCAUUCAGCCAUUUGAAUGGCCCUAUCCAAUUCUUCUUUGCAAGAUUCCUCCUUGCUUCCAUGCUGGUUAGUUGAAGCUUCUUCCUGCCAUUCCUGCUCUUCAUUAUCUAAGAGCUCCAUUUCUUGACUGCCAUGACCUGAUCUUUCUUCUUUUGUUCAGUCAUUGAUGGUGUAGGGGGUUUGGGAUGAUACAGGGUAUAUCCCACUCCUCUUUAGUAAGGAGCAUUCCUUGUUCCAAAAGCUUUUGGGCCGUCACCUUGGUAGGGCGGCCGUUCUUAUCAGCUCCUGAACAUUUCAAGAUUCCUACGUUGGGGUUGUAGAAACUUGCUUCUGCAACAUUGGCUGUGGGGAGGAACGGCCGUGAUUCGGCCUCUACUAUCUCCCAAAAGCCUGGUCCUUUUGUAUCUGCCUCGUGAUAAACAGCUACUUAUUGAUGAAGAGGAGGGUAUGGCUAAACUUUGGUGGAUCCAAUCUCUUCCGAGUAAGGCCCCAUAAGUGAAGGUGCAGUCCACUACAAAGAAUGCCAGCAUUAUCUGUUUGGAUCCCAAAUCCACUUCUAAUGGCAGUAUCCCAUGAGUCUUGGUGAUAGCGCCUGAGAAGCUAGAGACCGUGAGGUCUGUGGGAAUAAGAUCCUCCGUGCCUCUCCCCAUUUUCCUCAUCUGCUUGGCUGGUAACACAUUAACAGCUGCUCCUCCAUCAAUUAGAAUUCUUUUAAAGGGCACACCCUUCAAGUGAGCUGUAACAUAUAUGGGCUUUAGAUGGUUGGCCAACGAGAUGCUUGGGCGGCUAAAUACCAUCUCAUCUGUAUAAAUCCUUAAAUAACCACCUUUGGAUGCUUCUGAGGGUUCAGUUUUGCCCGAGUCUUCCUCUUCAACUACCUCCACAUUGACAUGUGCCAUCAUGGGCUCAGUGGUCAAGUAAUCACCCUCCAUAGUAGCGGGCUGAUCAGGCUUGGCACCAAACGUGGCGGAUAAUACGUGUGCCAUGUUAAUAUGGAAAUUACUAGGCUUGAGCAAAUCUUCCUUCUUGCUCCCAAUCUGGUCCAUGAAUUCAUCCAACCAGGCCAUCGCAUCGGCGGGAAGUAGUGGUUCUGGUGUCCUUUCCUGUUGCUGUUGAUUCAUACCCGCAUACAGUGUUUGUUUUGGAACUUCACCAAAAGGAUCCACCAAUGGCAGAGAAUGUGGUCUCCUUUCAGAUGGAACGGUUCCAACGCAAAUAGGCUCCGGCUUCCACCUAGGGGUUGGCACCAUAAUCAGAUCUUCUUGAGCUCUCCUCAAGAUUCUGUACUUUCCAGGGUGUUGGCUCUGCGACACAUGAUUCCCUUCGCCCUCUGUUUUGCUGUUGGCAUUUUCCACCUCUUUCUUACUUCGCCAACAGAACUGACUACUACCUUCAGAUGCUGUUUUCUCCAACUUUUGGUUUUUUGAGGCUUCGGAUGUGGUGAGGGUCUUCAGGGAAUUCAUGUAGGCUUUGUGCUGCCUUUGAACCCUCCUGACCAUGGAGGCUCCCAUCGGUUUGGUAGGCUGUCCGUUCUUUCCGACUACAUACCAUUUUCGCCCGAGGUGUGCAGGAUUCCCUUUUCUAACAGGAUUAGUUAUCCCAUCAGUCCUCUUGAUUUCCCUCCCCAUCUGGCCAUUUUGAGGAUGAUCUGCACCCCUCCGUGUUUUGGCCUCCAUAUCUUCUGCCUCUUCAGAAGCUUCAUGGUUUCGAAACACUUCUGACAAAGCCUUGGGUUGGGAAUCACCUCCUAAUCGUUGAAAAACGCUUCGGGAAGUGUCCUUCUUUGUUGCCUGCUUAAUCUUUUCGCGGGCUUCUCUUCUUAUAUCUUCUUCCUUUCUCCUGAUCAGUUCGUGAUCAAUGAGGAUUCCAGCUGGGGGAAUUUCGAGCUCACAUUCGCACUGGCACUUACUACACAUAACCAUCCCCUUGAUUAUGGUCGCUUUUGGAUAUUCGGGCGAUUUGAUUAUCCCCUCUGUAGGUCUUUUAGCCAGUCUUUCUUCCUCUUCUUCUCUUGUAAUCUUUCCUUUUCCUUUCUCCGCCCAUGUCAUAUUGAUCAUAUUUAUAGGGGCCUCUGAGAAGGGAAGUGCAGGGUUGGCCACUACCAUCUCUUCGGGAGGAACCAAGUCUAUAUCACUUCUAGAGCCUGUAGAGGCUUUCUCCAAUCUUUGCAGCAUUUGAAACAAUGUGGUUUGCAAAUCUUCUGGCAUUUUUGUCAUUUAUCUUCUAACCAGCAUGGAGGUCCCACUAGGCGUACCAAAACUAUGUUUGUGUCAGGAAUUUUCAUCGGGGAUGGUUCCUGCCGACAAGCACACAGCUCCCCGGGAGGUUGGCGCCGGUUGAGGGCAGCUGUCGGGCUUCUAUUUCAUUAUCGGGCUUGGUCGAGCAAGUCUCGUCGGGCAAGUCUUGGUCGGGCAAGACUCGUCGGGCAAGGCUGAAAGAGAAGGACAGAGUUAAUUUGAAAGGUGCCUUUGUGGGGCCUUAGUUGUAGGCCUUGAGGCUCACAAUCAAGAUUAACUUUGAGGUGCUCAGGCGUGCCAUUGCCAUCUUUAGUAUGGCAGAUGUAGAAUGGAUGUCACGUUUUCGUUGCAAAUAUGCAUAUACCCGAGCAACCGUGUUAGAUGUGGCAGGUGCCUUUGUGGGGCCUUAGGUAUAGGCCUUGAGGCUUCCUAUCAAACUAAACCAGUGUUCGAACACAUCAUAUUUGGUCUCGUGAUUGCAGGAGCCUUGUAACUAUUAUACUUCUGAUUACCUGAGUCUGAGAGGUAGGACGAACCUAAAUAAGUGCCUUUGUGGGGCCUUAGGUGUAGGCCUUGAGGCUUCCCAUUAGAGUUCGUUCUAAUACUCAAACAUUCUAGAUCGCAGGACGAAAUGAAUCCAAAUAGGUGCCUUCGUGGGGCCUUAGGUGUAAGCCUUGAGGCUUCCCAUCAGAAUCCAUUCCAUGCUUAAACGUUAUAUGAUAAUCAUAAUAUAAUAGAAACAAAACAAAGAGGUAGGUCGAUUACUUGCGCUCCAAGUAACUUCGAACUUCUCGUUUAUCAAGGACUGUCGUGGAUGGGUUAAGUCCACAUAAAGUUCUUUUUUAUGCCUUGAGGCCAAGGACUUUUAAUUGACCAGAUUUACACGCCCGAGGGCUUAGGACUUUGGAUCUGGUUUAAACACUGAAGAUAUAUUCAAAUCGGAUCCAAGUACUGAGAAAGCUUUUUAAUAGCUAUCUUGCUAGAAAUAACUUGCAUAUAACUGGAAGUAUACAACAUAUUACUAGGCUUUAAAGCAUGAAAAGACAAAAACAAAACAAAGAAGGUCGGGCAAGGUUAAACCUUAUUGGUUAAGGCUGAUCGUCUUGCAGGUUCCUAUCUUUGUAGUUUUGUCAAAGGUCUGAAAGCUUAGAAAGAGAGGGAGGUAGAGAGGUACAAAAAGUGAAUCGAUACUACACCAAGUUUGGACAGGGUAGCAGAGCUAUUACAAAGGUUUGAAAGAAAGGUUAUCCCGCGAGGGAUGAAGGCUUGUCCCGAAAGGGAUGAAGGCUUGGGCUGACUACAGCUUCGUUUUGAAAGCAAAUCUAGCUUUGAGCAGAGUUUGUGCUUGCAUUUGUUUGUUUGAUUGAGUGUCCUUAUUACUGGCUUCUCUUUCUCCUUUUAUAGACAACUCGGUUUGGCCUCUUGUAGCAGCAGCCUUGCCCGAAUGCGGUUUGAGGGUGAUGACUCAUCAGCUAUUUUACAUGUGAUGCCACCAUAAAGUACUUUAUGGGCUGUGUAGCUGGUCAGUCUAUACCACUUGGUCCUUGGAUAGGUAAGCAAGUGGCCUUCAUGAACUGUAUCAAGUCAGAAAAGGCCCUUUUCUGCUUUUCU
RNAcentral lists this long non-coding RNA (8445 nucleotides) under Malus domestica (apple). Its description in RNAcentral is "long non-coding RNA (MDOM_LNC015906)". Lineage: Eukaryota; Viridiplantae; Streptophyta; Magnoliopsida; Rosales; Rosaceae. The record is from RNAcentral.